CCUACGGGUGGCAGCAGUGGGGAAUAUUGGACAAUGGGGGCAACCCUGAUCCAGCCAUGCCGCGUGUGUGAAGAAGGCCCUCGGGUUGUAAAGCACUUUCAGUGAGGAAGAACGCCUGGUGGUUAAUACCCAUCAGGAAAGACAUCACUCACAGAAGAAGCACCGGCUAACUCCGUGCCAACAGCCGCGGUAAUACGGAGGGUGCGAGCGUUAAUCGGAAUUACUGGGCGUAAAGCGCGCGUAGGUGGCUUGAUAAGCCGGUUGUGAAAGCCCCGGGCUCAACCUGGGAACGGCAUCCGGAACUGUCAAGCUAGAGUGCAGGAGAGGAAGGUAGAAUUCCCGGUGUAGCGGUGAAAUGCGUAGAGAUCGGGAGGAAUACCAGUGGCGAAGGCGGCCUUCUGGACUGACACUGACACUGAGGUGCGAAAGCGUGGGUAGCAAACAGGAUUAGAUACCCCUGUAGUC
This 465-nucleotide ribosomal RNA is filed under the name Vreelandella stevensii. RNAcentral describes it as "partial 16S ribosomal RNA". It matches the Rfam family "Bacterial small subunit ribosomal RNA", at positions 338 to 795 of the family's 1533-position model. The record is from RNAcentral. Lineage: Bacteria; Pseudomonadati; Pseudomonadota; Gammaproteobacteria; Oceanospirillales; Halomonadaceae.